RNAcentral lists this ribosomal RNA (343 nucleotides) under Escherichia coli. RNAcentral's name for it is "partial 23S ribosomal RNA". It matches the Rfam family "Bacterial large subunit ribosomal RNA", at positions 1 to 371 of the family's 2925-position model. The record is from RNAcentral. Lineage: Bacteria; Pseudomonadati; Pseudomonadota; Gammaproteobacteria; Enterobacterales; Enterobacteriaceae.
GGGUUGUGAGGUUAAGCGACUAAGCGUACACGGUGGAUGCCCUGGCAGUCAGAGGCGAUGAAGGACGUGCUAAUCUGCGAUAAGCGUCGGUAAGGUGAUAUGAACCGUUAUAACCGGCGAUUUCCGAAUGGGGAAACCCAGUGUGUUUCGACACACUAUCAUUAACUGAAUCCAUAGGUUAAUGAGGCGAACCGGGGGAACUGAAACAUCUAAGUACCCCGAGGAAAAGAAAUCAACCGAGAUUCCCCCAGUAGCGGCGAGCGAACGGGGAGCAGCCCAGAGCCUGAAUCAGUGUGUGUGUUAGUGGAAGCGUCUGGAAAGGCGCGCGAUACAGGGUGACAGC